UGGAGAUCUCUGCCUACCUGAGGCCUUCCAAAGGACAUAUGCCUGCACAACUGUUUCACUGCCAGGCUCUUCAAAAGCACAAGCAGAGUAAGAGAGGUUGGAUCCUUCUGGUGGCAAUUCACACGGGGGAAGAGCUGCCAUGUUUCACUAAGUCAGUGCUUCAAACCAGCAUACCUGAUAGUAAACCUGGACGCACGCUUACAGGAAGAUGCAAGAAAUAAGUGGAUAAAGAAAGAAAGGAAUGAAAACCCCAAUGUAGAGCAUUUGACAUUGUUUCAGUAAUACCUCAGGCAAUUUGUCUCCUUUUACAAAUACCAAUUUACAACAGCGGAGUCCUUGGGUAACCCUCAGCCAAAGCCAGCAAGAGGGGGGGAGAUAAAGCUCUCUAUUGCACACACU
Molecule: long non-coding RNA, 399 nt
Organism: Gallus gallus (chicken)
Lineage: Eukaryota; Metazoa; Chordata; Aves; Galliformes; Phasianidae
Source: Ensembl